Long non-coding RNA from Gallus gallus (chicken), 3857 nucleotides. NCBI's taxonomy places the organism in Eukaryota, Metazoa, Chordata, Aves, Galliformes, Phasianidae. The record is from Ensembl.
CUAGUCCAAGGACAGAUCCUUGCCCCUUGGUUAGUGAAGAAUCCAAGAGAGAUUAGCCUCAUGAGGCCAGUUAGUCUUUACGAUUGCUGCCUGCGGCCUUGUGUUUUAUCUGUAUAUCAUGAAUCAUAGUUUAGCUAAUGUUCUCAAGUGAUGAAGCUUGGACCAUUGGCUCGGAAGGCAGCAAAAUAUUUCUAUUUCAGGUCGCCUUCUUUGUACCAUUUCAUGAAUGACUGCUUAAGAAACAUAUACACGUUAUUAAAAUAAACAUAGAUUGUGCCACACCAUUUAUUCAGAAAUUAUAGUAAUAUGUAUUCUGUAUCAUAUAUCUGUAGCCCUGCAUAUCCAAGUAGAGUAGACUAGUAAUGUAAAUCUACCAAACUCAUAAAAUUUUGAAUUACAACCAGAAGAAUGAAGGAGUAGUGUUUGCUAUUAUGUGAAAGGCAUGAAGAUCUAUCGAAGAUCUGAAAGCUCCAAGUGUGUUAUAAUCUUCAGCAUCUGAAAGAUAUGCAAUCAUGACAAGUAAAAUUUUGGGUUAGAAUAGGAACAUAUCAGUUAUUGUAUAAUUAUAAAAAUAAUGAGCUUAUCAAAAUUAUAUGUGUAUUAAAAAUACAGUGUUUUCCCUUAGGACCAUCCAUAGGCAAGGGUGAAAAUACUAUUUUCAGAUAGUAAAUUGAUAGUUGUUAAACCAAACACUUUUUCUGAAACAUUCCCCACAAAGAAAAAGUGUUUACUAAAGAAUUCAGGGGUAAUAAUUAUUUAUGUAUUAUUUACGUAGCAUUUUCUGUUUUCAGGUAGGUAUUUCAUAUGGAUUCAAUGAAGAAGAUAUGCAUUUACAAACUUCUAAAUAUAAUGAAAUAUUCUGUUAUAUACAUAUACACGGAGUAAAUUUUAUACACAGAACAAUCUACCUAUCACUUAAAAGAAUUAACAAUGGAGAAUCCCUUUCUCAUGUCUCUUAUAGCCUAGUAUAACAAUACUUUUCAAACAUAAAGGUGCAGAGAAACUGAGAUUUCUUUUUUUUCUAGGUUUUUUUGUCAGAGCUUUAGCUCAUCUCCACUUCAAAAGAAAAUGAAUCAAACAAUAAACAAGCAAACAAACAAAUAAAUAAAUAAAUAUUUUUUUAAAAAAUCACAGAAUAACAAAACAAAAAAACAGAACAAACACAGCACUUUAUUCCUCAACCUGAAUAGUCCUGUAUUAAGAUUAGUAUUAGUGGUUUGAAUUCAUUUCUCAAAGACAUACAAAGUUUUACCUACCUAGUCAGAACACCAUAAUUAGCUCAGUCAAGAGAUAUUAUUCUAGCAUGGGCCCAAAAAUUCAUUAGGAAUCUUUGAGCCUGCACUUGCAUCAAACUUCAAACUGCCACUAGUACAGUAUUUGCUGAGUCAUCUCUUCUGUUUGCACAGAGACAAUAUAGUUUGCAAAUAGACAAUAUAGUUUGCAAAAUAUUCUACAUUUCACAGAAGUGGUCAUAGCAAUGUCAUUUACUCAGAAAGCCAAGCAUGUGCGUUAACAUCUGUAGAUUCAAAGCUGCAUCUCUUACUGGAAGAACAAGUCAUUGAGAUAAGUCCUGUGGCAAAGGACUUAGGGGUCUUGAGGAUAAAAAGAUGAACAAGAACCUACAAUGUGCACUUGCGAGCCAGAAGAUCAACUGUACCCUGAGCCGCAUUAAAAGAGGGAUGACCAGCAGGGUAAGAGAGGUGACUGUCCCCCUCUACUCAGCUUUUCUGGGGUCACAUCUGGAGUACUGUGUCCAGGCUGCGGACUUCAACACAGGAAAGACACAGAGAUGUCAGAACUGGGUCCAGAGGAGAGUGACAAAGGUGAUCAGUGUGCUGGAGUACCUCUCCUAUGAAGAAAGUUUGAGGGACAUGGACAUGUUCAGUCUGAAAAAGAGAAGGCUCUUUGGAGAUCUCAUUGUGGCCUUUCAGAACUUGAGGAGAGCCUAUAAAUAGGAGGGAGACUGACUUUUUAAAUGUUCUGAUAAUGGCAUGAAAAGGAGGAAUGGCUUUUACCUAAAAGAGGGGAGAUUUUGUUUAGAUGAUAGGCAGAAAUUCUUUACUCAGAGGGUGGUGAAUCACUGGCACAGGUUUCCCAGAGAAACCAUGAAUAUCUCAUCCCUGGAGGUGUUCAAGGCCAUGUCAGAUGGGGUCCUGGGUAGCCAGUCCUGAUCUAGUGGCUGGCAAUUCUGCUCACGGCAGAGGAGCUGAAAUUAGAUGAUCUUUAAGGUCCCUUCAAACCCAAGUCAUUCUAUGGCUUCUACAAUUCUAUGAAAAUGUCAAAAUUAAUUCAUCUCUAAUUUCUGAGCAUUUCAACAGCAAACACACAGACAAAUCAAUAUAAAAACAUGAAAGAAAAAGUCACCACAGGAAAGGACUGCCUCAAAGCUUCCAAGAUAGGCAUCUGUGUUAUGUGACAGUCCAAGAUAUAUAUUCAGAAACAGGUAUGAUAUAAUCACUUGUUUCUUUCUGUUUUUUUUUUGUUUGUUUGUUUGUUUGUUCCUGUUUACAUCACCUGUUCUGUGAAAUAAUUGAGAGAAACUGACUGAGUAGUUCAUCCUACUUCAGAAUAGGAUCAAGUACCUCCAAAAGUAGGAAGAUCUGUAGGUAUUUGCUGCAUAAUUGUUGCUUUUUACAAGAUGAAUCAACCUGAAAGUCAAUUAGUUUCCGAUUCUAAUCUUAUGGGACUGCUAUUAACUGCAUUUUAGAAAAUAUAGCCUGCUUAUCAUAGCUUUGUUACUGCUCCCACUGAAAUAUCUAGGCAUUUGCAUACUGACUCUAGGGGGAGUUCAGUGAGACUCUUAAAAUAAUUUCUCUUCCACUUUCUUAAUUUUUUCCUGUCCUCCUCUUAGGUCAUAUCAUCCUCCCUCCAUAAUAAGAAAUUGAGGCACUUACAAAAGUGUGGGAGAGACACUAAUACUCCAUAAUUUAAAUAACCUAGUAGUCUAGUUCUACAUUAAAACUUCAGACAAUGUCAACUCCUCAAAAAGAAGCAAUUUUAACUCUUGUUCAUUUGAAGGCAUCUGUUUGACUAACCAAAGACUUUAUUGACUUCUUUUUCUCUUUUGUAAAUGUUUUUUUUUUCUUUUAAUUUAGUUUUAGAUGAGUUUUACAGCAGUAUACUUGCAGUCCGUAAAUGGUGUCCUAGGCUCUAUUUAUAGUAGAGUUACCUAUGUCUGUACUUGGGGGUGCUGAACUGUAUGCUAGAAAUUCCUCUUUUGUUUCACUGUUUAUAAAUGGAAUCUAGGUUAUCAGUUCAGGUAUCAACAGCUACAUUGAUUGUAACUUAAGUUUUUGAAGUCAAGAACUCUAAAUACUCUAAACUUUUUGUGUAAUUUGUACUUGUCUUUGUUCUCCAAAUGUAGCAAGAAUCAGCAAUAAACUCUUGCACAGGCCUGGAUGUGAAGUUGUCCAAGUGCUGUGAAAUAUGACAUUGUGACAAUAUUAAUUCAUUUCUUGGGUGUAAAGUAGCUUUACAACUUGAUGCUCUUAAGAACUUAAUUAGAAUUUUAGAACUUAACUGAAAAUGAGAGUAGACAAAUUAUAUCUUUUAUAUUAUGUGAAAAAAAAGAGACAUUAAGGAAAAAAAAAAAAACCUACAAAAAACCACAAUGCUUUUUGAUGAAAGCAUUCACUGACGUUGCAAACCUAUACCAAAGGAGGUGAAAGAGAAGAAGCCAUUUUGGGAAUACAAAUGUUUUAUUUAAGUAGACUAUCCUAGAGGAAGCAUAAACUGUUUUCAGUCAGAGAAGCAAGAAUUCAUUUUAGCUCCUAUAUGACAAUUUAGUUAAAGUAGUGAAAACAAAAUUUACAAUUUAUGGGUGUUCUUUCCACAUUCUAAAUCAGAUUGUAACUUAG